CUCCUACGGGAGGCAGCAGUAGGGAAUUGUUCGCAAUGGGCGCAAGCCUGACGACGCAACGCCGCGUGGAGGAUGAAGACUUUCGGGUCGUAAACUCCUUUCGACCGAGAUGAAUACUCUCUGACCUAAUACGUUUGAGAGCUGACAGUAUCGAGGGAAGAAGCCCCGGCUAACUCCGUGCCAGCAGCCGCGGUAAUACGGGGGGGGCAAGCGUUGUUCGGAAUUACUGGGCGUAAAGGGUUCGUAGGUGGCUUUCUAAGUCAGACGUGAAAUCCCUCAGCUUAACUGGGGAACUGCGUCUGAGACUGGCGAGCUUGAGUGCAGGAGAGGAACGCGGAAUUCCAGGUGUAGCGGUGAAAUGCGUAGAUAUCUGGAGGAACACCGGUGGCGAAGGCGGCGUUCUGGACUGUUACUGACACUGAGGAACGAAAGCCAGGGGAGCAAACGGGAUUAGAUACCCCGGUAGUCCUGGCCCUAAACGAUGAAUGCUUGGUGUGGCGGGUAUCGAUCCCUGCCGUGCCGAAGUUAACGCGUUAAGC
Molecule: ribosomal RNA, 539 nt
Filed under: uncultured bacterium
Lineage: Bacteria
Description: bacterial SSU rRNA
Rfam family: Bacterial small subunit ribosomal RNA
Source: RNAcentral